RNAcentral lists this transfer RNA (74 nucleotides) under Triticum aestivum (bread wheat). It matches the Rfam family "tRNA". Rfam says of the family: Transfer RNA (tRNA) molecules are approximately 80 nucleotides in length. Their secondary structure includes four short double-helical elements and three loops (D, anti-codon, and T loops). Lineage: Eukaryota; Viridiplantae; Streptophyta; Magnoliopsida; Poales; Poaceae. The record is from Rfam by way of RNAcentral.
AGCGGGGUAGAGGAAUUGGUCAACUCAUCAGGCUCAUGACCUGAAGACUGCAGGUUCGAAUCCUAUCCCCGCCU